Ictidomys tridecemlineatus (thirteen-lined ground squirrel) is the source of this 2809-nucleotide long non-coding RNA. RefSeq lists it as uncharacterized. The record is from RefSeq and is a predicted model, not a curated record. NCBI's taxonomy places the organism in Eukaryota, Metazoa, Chordata, Mammalia, Rodentia, Sciuridae.
UCUGUCCUGAGAUUGAGAAGACGGAGCCAGGAUGACAAUCAGUCUUUGGGGACCGAAAAGAAGCCUGCAGUGACCGAUCGCACCCAAAGGAGCACCCAGGCCCGGGGAGGCCAGCUGUGGGAACGCGGCCUGACUGGCAUGGAAUGAAAGGUUUUUAACCACAUGGAGCAAAUCAGUCUCUGGGCUCUGCCAAGAAGGAAUCUGGAAGGGACACAGUUAUGGAGAUUACGACAAGAGAGAUGAUUAGGGACUUGGGGAGUUCUUUUUUUAAGGACUUGCUAAGGAAAUGGGACUGUAAUUAGAAAGGGAAGCAGGCUUUCUCUCUCUUUAUCUCUCUUUCUUUCUUAGGUGAACUAAAAAGCUUCGGUAAAUACACACCAAGAAUCUAUGAAAACUUCCAAAUCAGUGGGAAAAUGUUCCAACUUCAAAAAUCGCUAAUGAAUACGUCUCCCAAAGCAAAGGAAAGCUGCAUCUGAAGAAUCUGUCUCCCGGUUACCUGUCAAGUCAGGUGCUUCAGGAUUUUUCGUGCUGAAUCGAACCCAGUGCCUCACACAUGCUAGCAUCAUUCUCUGGAGUUUCGAUUGGAGAGACCUUCAUGAAAAUGAUGUUUGGAUCACACAUUUGCGUCUUUCCCCAUGCAUUCUAAUGUCACGCAGGACAAAUAUGGAUAACACUAGCCAGCAUGACUUGAGGACUUCGCCUGUGACCUGCACUGUGUUAAACAUUCCAUCCUAAACACACAGUUGAAUCUCCACAGCUCCUCUAUCGGUUACUGUGACCUGGAAGGAGAAGAAAAGCAAAUGGAGCUGCUAAUAUUCCAGUCUUAGACGUUGCUGAAGUCAGAAGACGGAACAGGGACUUUUAAUGGGAUUGAGGACAAAUUUCAGAUGCACUCUGGUUGAAAACCCAAUGCAGCUUGGCUGCACUAGAAGGGAUGGUGGUGGAGAGAGGGGAGACCUAACUUACCAGCAGAUGGCGAAUAAACCAGAAAGAGAUAAAGGUAAGCUUUGGGCCCAGUUAAUCUCAGCUCUUAUUAAUGCAUCAAAAUCAAAGUUACCGUUAAAUGAAUCAAAAUCUAGUUUGAUAUACACGAGGAAGUGGACUAGCAGGAUGGAAAGGAAGAGGAAAUCGGAGCCAGAGAGCUCAAGGUCCGAAGUAGACUUCAUGAUUUCUUCACUGUGUGGUUUUGGGCAAAUGAUACAAAAGCACCCGCUCAGAAAAGCUCAGCCCUGGCCUUUUCAUCUGUGUGAUUGCAAUGGGAAGACUUAGCACGCAGGAUGCAGGGAGGGAAAACAAUACAGCAGUUAGCAAGGUCUCUUCCAACUUCUUGUAACACUGGAGAAAAGCUUCCAGAUUUUCUUGUUUUUCAAACAUUGGCUUUUCUGCUCAGUCCUCUUGGAUGUUCUUAGUGUCUGCCCUGGGUUGACAUCAGAUGCCAGGUCCGUCUCCUGCAGAAAAGCAUCCUGACCAUGGACAGUUCAUUUCAGAGAUAUUGGAGCUGAGAAUGUUGCUCAUCCUAAGCAGCUUCUGAAAACCCUGCACCCAAGUGACUUAAAUUUCCCACAAUCCAUGCAUACGAGGGGAAGUACCACCCAAUGUACCACCACAAUGCCUCAGCGCUCAUGCUUCAUUUCCCUACCCCCCAGGACCAGUUUUCUUAGGAAAUGGGAUUCUAGGCCACCUGGAUGACUAUGCAUGUUGUAUACCUCACAACUCCAGAGAGUGCUGUCAACAUGAAAGGUGCACUAUGCAGUUCACUAUGUGCCGUGGCCUUGGAUUUGUAAUCCCUCUUCUGACUUAAGGUUUUCAGUACUUUCUCAGCAGGGAAGCUUCCCCGGGAGGUCUCUCCAGAGGCUCCCUUGCUGCACAUCUCAAGGCUCUAAGGUGAGUCCCUUGGUCACAGAAAGCCCACAACUGAACUCCCUCCUCCUGUGGAAGACGGCCUCCUGCCACCUGGUGGUUGGCAGAAUCUCUUGCGUAACGAAAGAGCUCUCACCCAAAUGGAACUGUCUCUAAACCUUGACCCAAAUUCCAGUUACCCUUAGUAAUUUUCAGCAGCAAAAAUGUGAAGAAUCCAAGAAUUGGUGGGCUAUUCAUGCAGAAUUGAACACAGAUGAAUUCUUUAAAAUGACGAACGGUAUGUCUCAGAACAUUGAAGCAACUAGAUUGUCAUCACUUUUCUUUGUGGUCAUAUUUUGAAUGCUGGCAAAUGCCUAGCUUACAGAAUUGGGAUUUCUUUCCUCUUAGCACAACAGGAAGUGUUACCCAUAAAACAGAGAUUGAUUUUGCAUUAUUACCAGAGUUAUACAAAAACACAGUUGGGUACAAUAAUAUUUGUGACAACAACCCCUAUCUUAUGGAGAUUUCUAAUAGCCUCGGUUCUGUAAUUGUUCAUUCAGAUGCUCAUGUCAAGAAGUGUAGGUGACAGCUUUAAGGUAUGUUGACAACUACGUGUCCUGAAAGUGCAUGUCCCUUGAGACUCAGAGUCCACAAAGUCAUGAUCAUUCUAAAAUACCUACCACUCCAGAAUUCUGCAUUCCUUCCAGAUGAUAAUUGGUAAUUGCUUUUCCUCAUGGGGACAAACAGGUUUCCUCUCUUCAUAUCAUGAUGAAACAGGUUUGGGGUGAUUGUGAGCCUUACACCAUUGUGUGGUGAUGAGUGAUAAUGAGGAAGACCUGGUGUGGUUCUUGGUGGAUAAAAGAGACACAAGCAUGUGAGUUCCCUCUGAUACCCACCAGGACCCGGUGAGGUAGCCGUGUGAUGGUUCUUCCUUCCCAGACGAGGAAGCAGAGACCCAGGAUGCGAGUCU